GACGAACGCUGGCGGCGUGCCUAAUACAUGCAAGUAGAACGCUGAGGAGAGGAGCUUGCUCUUCUUGGAUGAGUUGCGAACGGGUGAGUAACGCGUAGGUAACCUGCCUUGUAGCGGGGGAUAACUAUUGGAAACGAUAGCUAAUACCGCAUAACAAUGGAUGACACAUGUCAUUUAUUUGAAAGGGGCAAUUGCUCCACUACAAGAUGGACCUGCGUUGUAUUAGCUAGUAGGUGAGGUAAUGGCUCACCUAGGCGACGAUACAUAGCCGACCUGAGAGGGUGAUCGGCCACACUGGGACUGAGACACGGCCCAGACUCCUACGGGAGGAAGCAGUAGGGAAUCUUCGGCAAUGGGGGCAACCCUGACCGAGCAACGCCGCGGGAGGGAAGAAGGGUUUCGGAUCGUAAAGCUCUGUUGUAAGUCAAGAACGGGUGUGAGAGUGGAAAGUUCACACUGUGACGGUAGCUUACCAGAAAGGGACGGCUAACUACGUG
RNAcentral lists this ribosomal RNA (497 nucleotides) under uncultured bacterium. Its description in RNAcentral is "partial 16S ribosomal RNA". It matches the Rfam family "Bacterial small subunit ribosomal RNA", at positions 28 to 507 of the family's 1533-position model. The record is from RNAcentral.